ACCUCGCACGCAGCGGCCGCAACCCGCGCGGCGCCGCCGCCUCUCGCCUCUGCUUCGCCCUUCUCCUCGGGAGCAGGAGAGCUCCGCUGCCGGCUUCGUGGUCCCGCAGGUGGGUCAUGGAUGUGCUGAAUGGUAACCCGUGCCAGCCGUGCUUUGUCUGGAGGUAGUGCUGAAGGCACUGACAUUCAGCAUCCAAAGAAGUACUCUGUCAGAAAGAAACAAAAAACAAACCUGUGUUCAGUGGCUGUUUCUGAGGUUGAAUUUGCAUUUCUCCAAUCACUGUGUCAGAGCGCAAGUCGGACCUUGGGCGGAACGCUCCCCUCCGCGCCUCCGCCUGAGCGGAUGGGCUCCCUUCGUAGACAGCCGCGCGCCGCAGCGAGAGCAGCUGGAAACAUUGGGCAAUAAUAUGCAUCAGGUACCAGCAAUAUGUAAAUACAGAGCGUAGGUUGUUCACAACACACCAGUACCUUUCUGCCGUUCAGCAGAAGCUCGUUUCCGAGCGAGAUAGGAAACUCGAUUUUCAUCCUUUCUUAAACCUUUUUGAAUGUUAUACCUAUGAAAGAAAAAGAUGCUAUAUUCAGUACUUUGGAGUAAAAUAUCAUCUUUAAUAAAAAACAAAAAUUCUUCUCCUCUCUUUGAAUGAUCUGUACAAAACACGUACAUUUUAUGGCAGUUUUAGGUGCCCUGCAGCGCUUGGGGGCAGCUCUGGGCCCCUCAGCCCUGGGGAUGCACGCUGCGGCGCUGCGCUCUGGCAGAGCUCUGCUGGAGGUCCAGCAUUGCAGCUCCGUGUGCAGGCAGUGCAUGCAGCCCUUCUGCAGAGUUGGCGUGUGCAGACGCUGCUUCUGCUCUCUUUCGGUCUGGUUUUUUUGGCCUUUGCUUUUUUUCUUUUUUCUUCUUUCUCUGGUUUAUUUCCCCCUCCUCCCCCCAGCAGAGAAUUAACUACAGUGAAUGUGAACAAAUCGUUGUCGUCGCGAGAGAGGCGGUAACAGAGGAGAGGAAAGGAGAGGAGAGGCUGCCGCCCCUCUGCUCCGUGUGCCUGCAGGUUCCUUUCGGUUCGCGAGCGUAAGGAAGGAAGGCAGCUGUGGUGUUCGGAGGUGGCAUCCACGCUGCGCGCGCUGUUGAGUUGGAAGCGUCACGGUUACAAACGCGUCGUGUUUGGUGAGCAGUGAGGAGUACGUGUGGUGUGUGUCAUAGUCCUGUAGCACUGGGCAGAAUCUGCACUCUGGGUAAAGCAGGGAGAAUGGCGACUUGUGUCCCUUCAGUGCCUUAUCACGGUGCGUGCGUCCGCGCGGGGCGUCGCGCUCGGGGCUGCACGGGGCGACAGGAGCGGCCUUAAGGAGGGCAGCGGGGAUGCGCCGGAGGCCGGUGCCGUGUUGGGCUUCAAAACGCCCUUGCCCUUUUUGCUACGACAGGUCAGGAAUAGGAGGAAGUGCCUGGGUGAGGGUCAGCCCGCUCCCGCUCCGUAGCGCUGGGCGAGGGCUGGGGCCGCGGCUCUGGGGGAGCGCCGUCGGCGUGCCGCGGCCCGGCACCGCGCAGACCCUGCGGCUGCUUUCGGUGUCACAUAGGAACCAAACGCGGGGGGAAGGAGCGGAACCGCUCCCGAGGAUGGGAGGCGUGGGUGCUGGGGAGGCUGAGCGCGAAACACCCCGCCUCCACCAAGCGCGGGACAGCUGCGUCGGCCGUGUGUCAGUACUCUAUUUUGUAUAUUCAAAGAAAGAUAUAUAACGGGGACAAAUCCUAUAUCGUACCGGUGUAUGGCAUUAUUACAAAAAAAAAAAAAAUCAUUAUUUUUAUCACAGUAAUUUUAAACAGCAUAAAAAAAUAAAAUUAAACCAGUGACUCCUGUUUAAAAAUGAAAGUUGUAGUUUUUUAUUCAUGCUGAAUAAUUCUGUAGUAACAAGUCUGUAGUUUUCACCGACUCAGUGAAAUGUUGGACUGUAAAAGCUUGUGUGGAAUUGUUGAGCAUUUAUUUUUUCAUUUAAAUUUGCUGUUCUGGUAAUACAAAGCCACACAUCUGUACAGAAGUUGCAGUAAAUGUGAGCCAUUUACAGCAAUGCCGAGUAAUGGACAGAAACCAUACAAUAAAAUUCUGCUUUUUUCAUUAAA
Molecule: long non-coding RNA, 2106 nt
Organism: Lagopus leucura (white-tailed ptarmigan)
Lineage: Eukaryota; Metazoa; Chordata; Aves; Galliformes; Phasianidae
Exons: 2
Source: RefSeq, a predicted model, not a curated record